GGGUAGGCGGAGGAAGACUCCAUUCCGCCCGGCGCUGAGCUGGGCGGGUCUGGGCGUUGGCGGGCGGUACCCGCCGGGGCGGAUUUCUUGGCUGGGUCGUUGAAAUAGGAGUCAGCGUCCCCUGAGGAACCUGUCAGUCAGAGCAGCACCUCUGGAUUUCCUCCCGGGACGUUGAAUCCUCUCACACUCGGUAAUGACCUUAGGUCUCGGGAGGGUCUGGUGAGCAGAGCGGCAAGCCGCGCAAAGACGCGGCUUUAAAAGCAAGGUUUUAUUGGAAACACUUGAACCAACGGUUCUCAAAUCCCAGCUGCUCUUUUAGAGCGACGUUCAAAAUAACCAAAUCCGAACACAAUGAGAGAAUUCAGACGAGCCCUUGGAGUUGACUUUAUUUAGAGAAAAUUGAGGUUGUAAAAUAAAGUAUCGGUUUCUUCA
Molecule: long non-coding RNA, 432 nt
Organism: Felis catus (domestic cat)
Lineage: Eukaryota; Metazoa; Chordata; Mammalia; Carnivora; Felidae
Exons: 2
Source: RefSeq, a predicted model, not a curated record